UCCUCGGUAGCUCAAUUGGCAGAGCAAUCGGCUGUUAACUGAUGGGUUUCUGGUUCGAGUCCAGACCGAGGAGCCU
RNAcentral lists this transfer RNA (76 nucleotides) under Anaerolineae bacterium. RNAcentral describes it as "tRNA-Asn". It matches the Rfam family "tRNA". From Rfam's summary of the family: Transfer RNA (tRNA) molecules are approximately 80 nucleotides in length. Their secondary structure includes four short double-helical elements and three loops (D, anti-codon, and T loops). Lineage: Bacteria; Bacillati; Chloroflexota; Anaerolineae. The record is from RNAcentral.